Non-coding RNA from Cinara cedri, 263 nucleotides. The record is from the annotation of a GenBank genome assembly. Lineage: Eukaryota; Metazoa; Arthropoda; Insecta; Hemiptera; Aphididae.
UAGAUGCGUUGUUUUUCGUUACUCGUUACGUUUCUCGUUAUAUUAUUCUGUGCUCAAUAAUAAUAUUAAAACGAAAUAGAUCGACGAACAUUUGUUUGCCAAAAAAGAGUUGUUACUAAAAUAUGCUCUAAAAAUUUACAUAUUCUAGAAAAUAAACAAUCAAAUCAAGUGUCAUUGUAGGAUGACAAUUUGCAAGUCCAACUCAAGUAGGUACUACAAGCCAGAGCCUAAAAUACUAUGUCUCCUGAAUUACAAAUGUGUGU